RNAcentral lists this ribosomal RNA (704 nucleotides) under uncultured Arthrobacter sp. RNAcentral's name for it is "bacterial SSU rRNA". It matches the Rfam family "Bacterial small subunit ribosomal RNA", at positions 412 to 1126 of the family's 1533-position model. Lineage: Bacteria; Bacillati; Actinomycetota; Actinomycetes; Micrococcales; Micrococcaceae. The record is from RNAcentral.
CGGCCUUCGGGUUGUAAACCUCUUUCAGUAGGGAAGAAGCGAAAGUGACGGUACCUGCAGAAGAAGCGCCGGCUAACUACGUGCCAGCAGCCGCGGUAAUACGUAGGGCGCAAGCGUUAUCCGGAAUUAUUGGGCGUAAAGAGCUCGUAGGCGGUUUGUCGCGUCUGCCGUGAAAGUCCGGGGCUCAACUCCGGAUCUGCGGUGGGUACGGGCAGACUAGAGUGAUGUAGGGGAGACUGGAAUUCCUGGUGUAGCGGUGAAAUGCGCAGAUAUCAGGAGGAACACCGAUGGCGAAGGCAGGUCUCUGGGCAUUAACUGACGCUGAGGAGCGAAAGCAUGGGGAGCGAACAGGAUUAGAUACCCUGGUAGUCCAUGCCGUAAACGUUGGGCACUAGGUGUGGGGGACAUUCCACGUUUUCCGCGCCGUAGCUAACGCAUUAAGUGCCCCGCCUGGGGAGUACGGCCGCAAGGCUAAAACUCAAAGGAAUUGACGGGGGCCCGCACAAGCGGCGGAGCAUGCGGAUUAAUUCGAUGCAACGCGAAGAACCUUACCAAGGCUUGACAUGGACCGGACCGCCGCAGAAAUGUGGUUUCCCCUUUGGGGCUGGUUUACAGGUGGUGCAUGGUUGUCGUCAGCUCGUGUCGUGAGAUGUUGGGUUAAGUCCCGCAACGAGCGCAACCCUCGUUCUAUGUUGCCAGCACGU